Schistosoma rodhaini is the source of this 48-nucleotide non-coding RNA. The record is from Rfam. Lineage: Eukaryota; Metazoa; Platyhelminthes; Trematoda; Strigeidida; Schistosomatidae.
AUCCAGUUGAUGAGUCUUAAAUAGGACGAAACGUGCGUCAAAUUGGAU